This 253-nucleotide ribosomal RNA is filed under the name uncultured bacterium. Its description in RNAcentral is "partial 16S ribosomal RNA". It matches the Rfam family "Bacterial small subunit ribosomal RNA", at positions 524 to 776 of the family's 1533-position model. The record is from RNAcentral.
UACGUAGGUGGCAAGCGUUAUCCGGAAUUAUUGGGCGUAAAGCGCGCGCAGGUGGUUCCUUAAGUCUGAUGUGAAAGCCCCCGGCUCAACCGGGGAGGGUCAUUGGAAACUGGGGAACUUGAGUGUAGAAGAGGAAAGUGGAAUUCCACGUGUAGCGGUGAAAUGCGUAGAUAUGUCACAGAACACCGAUCGCGAAGGCAGCUAACUAAACUAUCACUGACACUGAUGCACGAAAGCGUGGGGAGCAAACAGG